GUGCAGAACUAAUAGACAACAUGAAGAGACAUGGGCCAGAAUGUACUGUAGGUUUUCAUUAAAAGAGAAGCCAGUUCAGCCUAACAUAGUUUUACACAUUAUGGACAGUUUACAAGAAGACAAACCACCUUUUUUAUUCCACGCAUUCUUUGUCAAAGCCUGUUGCCUACAUUACCCACAAUCCAACCUUGACCUCUGAACACUUUGGUGGGCCUGGUCUCACUCUCAACUUGUCACAUAGUGCUGCUUUGUCAGGACUCCUUGGGGUCGCAAACUAGAUGUAGUUUAGGGCCAUUUUUCAGUACAAUAACUGUAAAUACUAUGCUGUUAUUCUGAUACACCUAUAACAAUCAGAAAUAGAUACCUUGAGUCCAUAGCCAAAUGUUCUCUGCUGUCGCUCCUUUUCUGGUAACAAGAAAUUUGCUCAUAAUGUGACUAAUGUUGUCAAAGUGUGUAUUACAGUCCAACCCAAUUCUUGUUCUUAAUCAAGGAUUUUUCCAUUAGAUUAACCAAACAUUGAGUGAAAAGGAAACUUAAGUAGCAAAAUCAAAUGAAAUAAGUGAAAAAAUAUUUGCCCAACAUGGAUCACACAUCAAUGACUCUCUUUUAUACUGGAAAGACUCCUACAUGUCUGUCGCUGAAUAUUGGCAAGGAUUGCAAAAGGACGCCUUGUGAAUAUCUGUCCUAUAUAUGUGGCUUUCGCUAAAGUUCAGUAUCUGACAGCCAUGGAAUAACAAUGGGUUGGUUUGGUAGAUAUUUUGAAGGUGUUGUUCCAGUGAUGGCUGAUGUAGCUUCAAACAGUAGCCUCAAACAUCUGAGGUCAAAGGUAUAGGUACAAACCUCCUUCUAAUUUCUAUCUUUUACCAUUUUUAAAUUUGUACUCUCUUGUGCUGCUGACUGAAGUGACAUAACUUCACACAAUUUAUGCAGAGCUCACUGUUAAGUCUCAGAAAACAUUUUAGCUAAACACUCAUUUACAUGUACUAUCCAAAGCUUACGGAUGCUUUCUUUUCAUACAGUUAAUGCCACAUCUACACAUUGUUCUCAGUCGUGAGCCGUGUGUGAGCAUUGUUUGUACCUGACUGUCCAGGCCCAGCAUCAUGAGCAUGGAGAAGAAGAGGAUGGCCCAUAGAGAGGACAUGGGCAGCUGGGUGACUGCCUGAGGUCUUUAAACUAAAGAGUACCUGAUGCUGCCAGUUCCUGCACAGGUUUCUUAGUGAUGUAAGACAUGAAGCCAACGAUGGAGAAGAUGACAAAUCCAGCAAACAUGCUGGUGCAGGAGUUGAUGCAGCAAACUAUGAUGGAGUCCCUGAAGAGAAAACAUCAGAAUGAACGCUUGGGAGCAAAUAAGAUGAAGAAUUACUUAUAAAGCUUUGAUUUCUGAUGUGUACUUGUAGACGUCGUUGUUGUAUGUGUUGUAGCUGCCCAGUGCGAUGAGCGAGCCCAGGCCCAGUCCGUAGGAAAAGAAAAUCUGAGUAGCUGCAUCCAACCACACCUGGGAGACAAAUCAUACAUACAUGUGCACCUGAUUUUUCAUGGACAGGUUGGUGCGAUUAGAUGCAGAUGGUUGGAAACUGUGUACCUCUGAUCGGAUGAGCUUAUUGAAGUCGGGCGUUAUGUAGAAGAGGAUCCCAUCGAUGGCUCCAGGAAGUGUGACCCCUCGAAAGAACAGGAUGAACAGCAUGAAGUAGGGAUAGGUGGCUGAGAAAUACACCACCUGAGAGAGAAAGAGAGAGAACAAUUUAUGUUUAUUCAAAAUGGAGCAUGUAUUGGCACUUAUGUGUGUCUGUGCUGCACUAUUUGUACAUACUGUCUACGAGUUUUACCAUGGGGAUCGAAUUUUUCUUUUCAAGCUAAACACAAUUCCCUUCACUUUUAACCCCCAAAACCAGCCAGUAGAUUUGAAAGGCAUGAUGUAUUUAAAAAAUUGCCAAAAUGACAUCAAUUAUCAGCUAAAUUGCAACCAUAAACUACUAAAUAGAGAAUAGGAAUGCCUGAAUUGAGAGCACAAAUGGCUAAACUAAGAGCAGGAAUCACUGAAUUAAGUCCUUGAAUUACUAAUUCAAGAACAGGAAAGACUAAAUCAAGAGCCUGAAUUAGUGAAUCCAGAACCCAAAUUACUAAAUAGAGCGCCUAAAUUGCUGAGAUACCCUGAAAAGACUUUUUGGCUGAACUGCAGGUUGUAUUUCCACAGAGCAGAUAGGAAACAAGCAAAACAUCUAUAGCAUGAAGAGUUACUCUUUUCCAGUAUUGGUAACACUGUAUUUUGAAAAAUGUGCUUGUUGGUAACAGUUUUGAGUUCAUAUUCUAGUGAAAAAUGAGCCCACAUUGAAUAAAAAUGUGACAGGAGCAAAACAAAUGCUCAGAAACUGCUUUGAGUUCAGAGGGUUAAAUAGUAAGUCUAAUAAUAAGUCCAAAAGAGAUGCAAAAUCCCCGUCGCCACAGUGUGCACAGAGAGACAGCUACUAAAAUAUUUCCAUAGCCUCUCUUUGCCAGCAGAUCUGUAUAAUGUGUCCUGCAGUUCUGUAGCAUAAUGAUUAUGCUUAAUUGGUAAUGUCCGUCAAGGCCAGGGCCUUGGGGGAAUUCAUUUUUCUCACUGCUCUCAGAUGCCACACAUUAAAAUCCAAUUAUCCCUGGCAGGGAAUGUGUAAAUGUGUUUCAUCUCAUAUACUUUGCCUCGACUUGCUAUAAUUUAAAAAUCCCAAGCAGCAGGCAGAAGGAUGUUUGUUUUUUUAAAAUUCUGUAACUCUUUUCCGAUCCACUCUAACUCCUCCAGCUGUUUGGGAUAUAAUAAUACAUUUUGAACCAAUUUAAUUCCCACCUGAGUGCAAUGUUGAAAGAGAGACUGUAAACAGCAAACAUAUGAACAUCUGAGGAGAAUAAAUAAAAGUAGUAUCUCCAUCACAUUAAAGAAAACAAACUUUGAGUUGUUGUUUGAUUCUGUGGAACCAAUUAGCACGUGGCCUUCUCUGUUCUGAUGAGAAUUCAUAAUGUGACACUUUGAACACAGUGAAUCUGACAUGAAGGGUUAAAUAUCAUCAGUAUUUUAAAAAAACCAUGCAAUCAGCAAAUCAUAGAGGGGCUAAAUACACGAACAAAAAGACUUUGCCAGGAAUGAUACAGAUAGAAUAGCCAAUAAAUUAAUUUAAAAAUGUAAAAUGUACAAUACAUUAUUAAUAGAGGUAUUGUGAUGUACCAGUAUUGACUGUUGCCAUGUUGUUGUAAAAUAUGAAAUACUGAUAAAAUGUUAAUAAUAAAAGACUUUCUCGACCUUC
Molecule: long non-coding RNA, 3275 nt
Organism: Acanthochromis polyacanthus (spiny chromis)
Lineage: Eukaryota; Metazoa; Chordata; Actinopteri; Pomacentridae
Exons: 2
Source: RefSeq, a predicted model, not a curated record